RNAcentral lists this transfer RNA (71 nucleotides) under Marmota monax (woodchuck). RNAcentral's name for it is "tRNA.Ala". The record is from RNAcentral. Lineage: Eukaryota; Metazoa; Chordata; Mammalia; Rodentia; Sciuridae.
GGGGUUGUGGCUCAGAGGAAAAGCACUCACCUAGCAUGUGUGGGGCACUGAGUUCAAUCCUCAGCACCACA